Molecule: ribosomal RNA, 473 nt
Filed under: uncultured bacterium
Lineage: Bacteria
Description: bacterial SSU rRNA
Rfam family: Bacterial small subunit ribosomal RNA
Source: RNAcentral
UCGAGAAUCUUUCGCAAUGCCCGAAAGGGUGACGAAGCGACGCCGCGUGCGGGAGGAAGGCCUUCGGGUUGUAAACCGCUGUCGGGAGUUAAGAAAUGCAAGGAUGUUAAUAGCGUUCUUGCUUGACUAAGGCUCCGGAGGAAGCCACGGCUAACUCUGUGCCAGCAGCCGCGGUAAUACAGAGGCGGCAAGCGUUGUUCGGAAUUACUGGGCGUAAAGCGUGCGCAGGCGGCGCCAUAAGACAGAUGUGAAAUCCCCGGGCUUAACCUGGGAACUGCGUUUGUGACUGUGGUGCUCGAGUGCGGCAGAGGGGGGUGGAAUUCCACGUGUAGCAGUGAAAUGCGUAGAGAUGUGGAGGAACACCGAUGGCGAAGGCAGCCCCCUGGGUCGACACUGACGCUCAUGCACGAAAGCGUGGGGAGCAAACAGGAUUAGAUACCCCUGUAGUCCCUGAGCGGGCUGGCAAGGCGCAU